UACGGAGGGUGCAAGCGUUAUCCGGAUUCACUGGGCUUAAAGGGUGCGUAGGCGGGCAGGUAAGUCCGUGGUGAAAUCUCUGAGCUUAACUCAGAAACUGCCAUGGAUACUAUUUGUCUUGAAUAUUGUGGAGGUGAGCGGAAUAUGUCAUGUAGCGGUGAAAUGCUUAGAUAUGACAUAGAACACCAAUUGCGAAGGCAGCUUACUACACAGUUAUUGACGCUGAGGCACGAAAGCGUGGGGAUCAAACAGG
Molecule: ribosomal RNA, 253 nt
Filed under: uncultured bacterium
Lineage: Bacteria
Description: partial 16S ribosomal RNA
Rfam family: Bacterial small subunit ribosomal RNA
Source: RNAcentral